This 497-nucleotide ribosomal RNA is filed under the name uncultured bacterium. RNAcentral describes it as "partial 16S ribosomal RNA". It matches the Rfam family "Bacterial small subunit ribosomal RNA", at positions 28 to 507 of the family's 1533-position model. The record is from RNAcentral.
GAUGAACGCUGGCGGCGUGCCUAAUACAUGCGAGUCGAGCGAACGGACGAGAAGCUUGCUUCUCUGAUGUUAGCGGCGGACGGGUGAGUAACACGUGGAUAACCUACCUAUAAGACUGGGAUAACUUCGGGAAACCGGAGCUAAUACCGGAUGAUAUUUUGAACCGCAUGGUUCAAAAGUGAAAGACGGUCUUGCUGUCACUUAUAGAUGGAUCCGCGCUGCAUUAGCUAGUUGGUAAGGUAACGGCCUACCAAGGCAACGAUGCAUAGCCGACCUGAGAGGGUGAUCGGCCACACUGGAACUGAGACACGGUCCAGACUCCUACGGGAGGCAGCAGUAGGGAAUCUUCCGCAAUGGGCGAAAGCCUGACGGAGCAACGCCGCGUGAGUGAUGAAGGUCUUCGGAUCGUAAAACUCUGUUAUUAGGGAAGAACAUAUGUGUAAGUAACUGUGCACAUCUUGACGGUACCUAAUCAGAAAGCCACGGCUAACUACGUG